The sequence is a small nucleolar RNA, 242 nucleotides long. It matches the Rfam family "Small nucleolar RNA snR191".
UUCCAUCGUUAAGUCAAGGCGCCUUCUGCAUUUGUUUGCUCAUCGCAAUGGAAGACUGUCUGUUACAACUUUGGUAGAUUGAUUCCAUUCUCGCCGCUCUUGAUCCUUGGGUCUUGAGUAGACAGCUCACCGUCUUGGAGAGUCUGUCGUAAAGAGUCUGGUUCUGUUUCGUUUGAGUUGAGGGCCACUUCCACUUUCAUUAGUGGCUUGUGGUGGUUUUCUUAGUAAUGAUUCAUACAUUA